GAUGAACGCUGGCGGCGUGCCUAAUACAUGCAAGUCGAGCGAACGGACGAGAAGCUUGCUUCUCUGAUGUUAGCGGCGGACGGGUGAGUAACACGUGGAUAACCUACCUAUAAGACUGGGAUAACUUCGGGAAACCGUAGCUAAUACCGGAUAAUAUUUUGAACCGCAUGGUUCAAAAGUGAAAGACGGUCUUGCUGUCACUUAUAGAUAGAUCCGCGCUGCAUUAGCUAGUUGGUAAGGUAACGGCUUACCAAGGCAACGAUGCAUGGCCGACCUGAGAGGGUGAUCGGCCACACUGGAACUGAGACACGGUCCAGACUCCUACGGGAGGCAGCAGUAGGGAAUCUUCCGCAAUGGGCGAAAGCCUGACGGAGCAACGCCGCGUGAGUGAUGAAGGUCUUCGGAUCGUAAAACUCUGUUAUUAGGGAAGAACAUAUGUGUAAGUAACUGUGCACAUCUUGACGGUACCUAAUCAGAAAGCCACGGCUAACUACGUG
This 497-nucleotide ribosomal RNA is filed under the name uncultured bacterium. Its description in RNAcentral is "partial 16S ribosomal RNA". It matches the Rfam family "Bacterial small subunit ribosomal RNA", at positions 28 to 507 of the family's 1533-position model. The record is from RNAcentral.